GUACAACUAAUUAAGCUGAUCAUGCUCCUUUCUCUUGGGGGCCUGAUGUGCGGUGGCUGCGAAUAGCAGCCUCCUUGGUAGUAUGCACAGCCUGGAGCUUGUAUGGCUUGGAAACAGACCUUUCCUAGUG
Small nucleolar RNA from Nycticebus coucang (slow loris), 130 nucleotides. RefSeq annotates it as small nucleolar RNA SNORA70. The record is from RefSeq and is a predicted model, not a curated record. NCBI's taxonomy places the organism in Eukaryota, Metazoa, Chordata, Mammalia, Primates, Lorisidae. The transcript has a single exon.